This 301-nucleotide ribosomal RNA is filed under the name uncultured bacterium. RNAcentral's name for it is "partial 16S ribosomal RNA". It matches the Rfam family "Bacterial small subunit ribosomal RNA", at positions 509 to 808 of the family's 1533-position model. The record is from RNAcentral.
CAGCAGCCGCGGGAAUACGAAGGGGGCUAGCGUUGUUCGGAAUUACUGGGCGUAAAGCGCACGUAGGCGGAUAUUUAAGUCAGGGGUGAAAUCCCGCAGCUCAACUGCGGAACUGCCUUUGAUACUGGGUAUCUUGAGUAUGGAAGAGGUUAGUGGAAUUGCGAGUGUAGAGGUGAAAUUCGUAGAUAUUCGCAGGAACACCAGUGGCGAAGGCGGCUAACUGGUCCAUAACUGACGCUGAGGUGCGAAAGCGUGGGGAGCAAACAGGAUUAGAUACCCCGUAGUCCCUGUCUCUUAUACA